GACGAACGCUGGCGGCGUGCCUAAUACAUGCAAGUUGAGCGAUGAAGAUUGGUGCUUGCACCAAUUUGAAGAGCAGCGAACGGGUGAGUAACGCGUGGGGAAUCUGCCUUUGAGCGGGGGACAACAUUUGGAAACGAAUGCUAAUACCGCAUAACAACUUUAAACAUAAGUUUUAAGUUUGAAAGAUGCAAUUGCAUCACUCAAAGAUGAUCCCGCGUUGUAUUAGCUAGUUGGUGAGGUAAAGGCUCACCAAGGCGAUGAUACAUAGCCGACCUGAGAGGGUUAUGGGCCACAUUGGGACGGGAACACGGCCCAAACCCCUACGGGAGGCAGCAGUAGGGAAUCUUCGGAAAUGGACGAAAGUCUGACCGGGAAACCCCGCGGGAGUGAAGAAGGUUUUCGGAUCGUAAAACUCUGUUGGUAGAGAAAAACGUUGGUGGGGGGGGAAAGCUCAUAAAGUGACGGUAGCAACCCAAAAAGGGGCGGCUAACUACGU
RNAcentral lists this ribosomal RNA (496 nucleotides) under uncultured bacterium. RNAcentral describes it as "partial 16S ribosomal RNA". It matches the Rfam family "Bacterial small subunit ribosomal RNA", at positions 28 to 506 of the family's 1533-position model. The record is from RNAcentral.